AGUCGAACGCGAAAGUUCCCUUCGGGGAACAAGUAGAGUGGCGCACGGGUGAGUAACACGUAGGUAAUCUACCUUUGGAUUGGGAAUAACACCGAGAAAUCGGUGCUAAUACCGAAUAAUGCAGCGGCACCUAAUGGUGACAGUUGUUAAAGCGGGGGAUCGCAAGACCUCGCGUCUAAAGAGGAGCCUGCGGCGGAUUAGCUAGUUGGUAAGGUAACGGCUUACCAAGGCGAUGAUCCGUAGCCGGCCUGAGAGGGCGGUCGGCCACACUGACACUGACAUACGGGUCAGACUCCUACGGGAGGCAGCAGUCGGGAAUUUUGGGCAAUGGGCGAAAGCCUGACCCAGCAACGCCGCGUGAAGGAUGAAAUCCCUCGGGAUGUAAACUUCGCAAGAACGGGAAGAAUAAGUCGGUGCUAACACCAUCGGCGAUGACGGUACUGUUUGUAAGCUCCGGCUAACUCCGUGCCAGCAGCCGCGGUAAUACGGGGGGAGCAAGCGUUGUUCGGAUUUACUGGGCGUAAAGGGCGCGUAGGCGGCCACCGCAAGUCGACUGUGAAAUCUCCGGGCUUAACUCGGAAAGGUCAGCCGAUACUGCGGGGCUAGAGUGCAGAAGGGGCAACUGGAAUUCUCGGUGUAGCGGUGAAAUGCGUAGAUAUCGAGAGGAACACCUGCGGCGAAGGCGGGUUGCUGGGCUGACACUGACGCUGAUGUGCGAAAGCUAGGGGAGCGAACGGGAUUAGAUACCCCGGUAGUCCUAGCCUUAAACGAUGAAUGCUUGGUGUCUGGGGUUUUAUAGUCCCCGGGUGCCGUCGCUAACGCUUUAAGCAUUCCGCC
RNAcentral lists this ribosomal RNA (837 nucleotides) under uncultured bacterium. RNAcentral's name for it is "bacterial SSU rRNA". It matches the Rfam family "Bacterial small subunit ribosomal RNA", at positions 60 to 873 of the family's 1533-position model. The record is from RNAcentral.